CCUACGGGUGGCAGCAGUAGGGAAUAUUGCUCAAUGGGGGAAACCCUGAUGCAGCAACGCCGCGUGGGUGAUGAAGGUUUUCGGAUUGUAAACUCCUUUUGUUAGAGAAGAUAAUGACGGUAUCUAACGAAUAAGCACCGGCUAACUCCGUGCCAGCAGCCGCGGUAAUACGUAGGGUGCAAGCGUUACUCGGAAUCACUGGGCGUAAAGAGCGCGUAGGCGGGAGAGCAAGUCAGAUGUGAAAUCCUAUGGCUUAACCAUAGAACUGCAUUUGAAACUGUGAUUCUAGAGUAUGGGAGAGGUAGGUGGAAUUCUUGGUGUAGGGGUAAAAGCCGUAGAGAUUAAGAGGAAUAC
RNAcentral lists this ribosomal RNA (354 nucleotides) under uncultured bacterium. RNAcentral's name for it is "partial 16S ribosomal RNA". It matches the Rfam family "Bacterial small subunit ribosomal RNA", at positions 338 to 709 of the family's 1533-position model. The record is from RNAcentral.